This 292-nucleotide ribosomal RNA is filed under the name uncultured bacterium. RNAcentral describes it as "partial 16S ribosomal RNA". It matches the Rfam family "Bacterial small subunit ribosomal RNA", at positions 505 to 796 of the family's 1533-position model. The record is from RNAcentral.
GUGUCAGCCGCCGCGGUAAAACGUAGGAGCCAAGCGUUAUCCGAAUUCACUGGGCGUAAAGCGCGUGCAGGCGGUUGGGUAAGUUGGAUGUGAAAUCGCCCGGCUCAACUGGGCGAGGUCGUUCAAAACUGCCUGACUCGAGGACGGUAGAGGGAGGUGGAAUUCCCGGUGUAGUGGUGAAAUGCGUAGAGAUCGGGAGGAACACCAGUGGCGAAGGCGGCCUCCUGGACCGGACCUGACGCUCAGACGCGAAAGCUAGGGGAGCGAACGGGAUUAGAUACCCGAGUAGUCC